RNAcentral lists this long non-coding RNA (253 nucleotides) under Homo sapiens (human). RNAcentral describes it as "HSALNT0076576". Lineage: Eukaryota; Metazoa; Chordata; Mammalia; Primates; Hominidae. The record is from RNAcentral.
CAGACUCAUGGAACAGGGGCUCAAAGAAUGUAAAGAAAAUUGCAUUAUUUGUCAGCUUAUGUUGAAAGGAGUGAAGACACUGAAUUCAAGCAAACCUAAAGAUAAAUGCUAAGGACAUUUUAAUGGCUGAUGAGGGCAAUGCCCAAUGAAUGAACACUUCAUCAUCCUGAAAUCUGAGUAGGUAAUAUUACGGCAUUAUGUACUCAUUUUGUAAAAUAAUUAUUUGCUUGUUAAACCCUUUCCUAGGUAGUAG